GACAGACUUAAAACUUUAAUUUCUACAUUAAAAUUUUAUCUUAAUUCAACAUCGAGGUCGCAAUAAUUUUUAUCAAUAUGAACUUUCCAAAAAUAUAACGCUGUUAUCCCUAAGGUAAUUAAAUCUAAAUUCAUAAAUUAUGGAUAAAAAAUUUCAUAAAUUAAUGUAAAAAAAAUCAAAAAUUUGAUUAAAUUUUUAAAUAUCCCCAAUUAAAUAAUUUUAUAAAUUACAAUAAAAUUUAAUUUAAUAAUAAAUAUAAAAUUAUAAAAUUCUAUAGGGUCUUCUCGUCUAUUAAUAAAAUUUAAGAAUUUUAACUUAAAAUAAAAUUUAAUUAUACUUAAAUUGAGACAGAUUUUAUUUCAUUCAAUCUUUCAUUCCAGACUUAAAUAAUAAGACAAAUGAUUAUGCUACCUUUGUACAGUCAAAAUACUGCAGCUAUUUAAAAAUAUUCAUUGAGCAGAUUAGAUUUAAAAUUAUAAACAAUAAACCAUGUUUUUGAUAAAC
Molecule: ribosomal RNA, 504 nt
Filed under: Megastigmus dorsalis
Lineage: Eukaryota; Metazoa; Arthropoda; Insecta; Hymenoptera; Megastigmidae
Also listed under: 1 other name
Description: partial 16S ribosomal RNA
Source: RNAcentral